Molecule: long non-coding RNA, 357 nt
Filed under: Homo sapiens (human)
Lineage: Eukaryota; Metazoa; Chordata; Mammalia; Primates; Hominidae
Description: non-protein coding lnc-NSD3-12:2
Source: RNAcentral
AAGGCUUUUAAAGAUACCAGAAAACACCUGUGAAGCUGGAGGUGACCAUUCACCAAAUUCGAAUCCCUCUAAUGAUCCGCAGCGUAAAAUCCCUGGAGAAGGUGUGUGCUGACUUGAUUCAGAGGAGGAAAGGAAAAGAAUGUCUAAGUGAAGGGACCAGUUUGAAUGCCUGCCAAGACUUUGAGAAUCACUAUAAGAAAAUCUCCUUGUGGUGAAGGUUCAGAGACAUGGGAUCGUUUCCAGAUGAGAAUCCACAAGCUACCCACUGACUUGCACAGUCCUUCUGAGAUUGUUAAGCAGUUGACUUCCAUCAGUGUUGAGCCAGGAAUUGAGGUGGAAGUCACCAUUGCAGAUGCU